RNAcentral lists this long non-coding RNA (474 nucleotides) under Homo sapiens (human). RNAcentral's name for it is "HSALNT0164489". The record is from RNAcentral. Lineage: Eukaryota; Metazoa; Chordata; Mammalia; Primates; Hominidae.
AGCCUCCGUUCCUGCUCUCGGUCUCUUGCUGUUAUUGUUUAACCUUCUCGGCACAAGGGAAGCCAGAGGCAGAGGGAGUCAGCCACAAAACCUGCCCGUCUCAGUGCCUGGCCUGUCAUUGAAGAGUCCUCUCCCAGGUGGCCGUGCCACAUCUCCAGCUUGUCUCUCAGGAGACCUUCUCCAGGGCCCUGCCUGUCCACACAUAGGACUCACCACUCCCUGGGCGAGCCUGGGCCCUUCCCCACCCAUCCUGUGCUUUGAUUCCCCAGGGGCGGUGCCCUUGCCGGACUCUUCAUGGACUAAAUCCCACUCGUCCUGCAAAACCUGGCAAAAUUCAAGGCCACUGGAGGAGCUCUUCCUUUGAGACUCUCCAGCAGGACUUGCCGCCUCUGCGCGGGGUGUGUAGCAAGCCCUGCUUGCCAUUGCCACUCCGUUGCUGCAGAACGAGUGGGAUUUGGUCUCUUUCGUGACUUC